Erinaceus europaeus (western European hedgehog) is the source of this 2736-nucleotide RNA transcript. It is a transcript of the gene named BR serine/threonine kinase 2, with no coding region annotated. The record is from RefSeq and is a predicted model, not a curated record. The transcript has 22 exons. NCBI's taxonomy places the organism in Eukaryota, Metazoa, Chordata, Mammalia, Eulipotyphla, Erinaceidae.
AGGGGCGCAGGCGCGCGGGCUGCGGGCGCGGCGGGGCGGGGCGGGGGCGCGCGAGCCGGCCGCGCGCACGGACGGACAGACCGACAGCCGCGCGGCCCCUCCCUGCCGCCGCCCGCCCGGGCCCACCCGCCGGCGCCGGGCCGGAGCGAUGACAUCCACGCGCAAGGACGGCGGCGGGGCGCAGCACGCGCAGUAUGUGGGGCCUUACCGGCUGGAGAAGACGCUGGGCAAGGGGCAGACAGGCCUGGUGAAGCUGGGGAUCCACUGCGUCACGUGUCAGAAGGUGGCCAUCAAGAUCGUCAACAGGGAGAAGCUCAGCGAGUCUGUGCUCAUGAAGGUGGAGCGGGAGAUCGCCAUCCUCAAGCUCAUCGAACACCCCCAUGUCCUGAAGCUGCAUGACGUCUACGAAAACAAAAAAUAUUUGUACCUGGUGCUAGAACACGUGUCAGGGGGGGAGCUGUUUGACUACCUGGUGAAGAAGGGGAGGCUGACCCCCAAAGAGGCCCGCAAGUUUUUCCGACAGAUCAUCUCUGCGCUGGACUUCUGCCACAGCCACUCCAUAUGCCACCGGGACCUGAAGCCCGAGAACCUGCUCCUGGACGAGAAGAACAACAUCCGGGUGGCGGACUUCGGCAUGGCCUCCCUGCAGGUGGGGGACAGCCUCCUGGAGACCAGCUGUGGCUCCCCCCACUACGCCUGUCCCGAGGUCAUCCGGGGGGAGAAGUACGACGGCCGCAAGGCGGACGUGUGGAGCUGCGGGGUCAUCCUGUUCGCCUUGCUGGUGGGGGCGCUGCCCUUCGACGAUGACAACCUGCGGCAGCUGCUGGAGAAGGUGAAGCGGGGCGUGUUCCACAUGCCGCACUUCAUCCCGCCCGACUGCCAGAGCCUGCUGCGUGGCAUGAUCGAAGUGGACGCCACCAGGCGCCUCACGCUAGAGCACAUUCAGAAACACACUUGGUACAUCGGGGGCAAGAACGAGCCCGAGCCCGAGCAGCCCGUCCCACGCAAGGUGCAGUUGCGCUCGCUGCCCAGCCUGGAGGACCUGGACCCCGACGUCCUGGACAGCAUGCACUCCCUUGGCUGUUUCCGAGACCGUAACAAGCUGUUACAGGACCUGCUGUCAGAGGAGGAGAACCAAGAGAAGAUGAUCUACUUCCUGCUGCUGGACCGGAAGGAGCGGUACCCCAGCCACGAGGACGAGGACCUGCCUCCCCGGAAUGAGAUAGACCCUCCCCGGAAGCGAGUGGACUCCCCCAUGCUGAACCGGCACGGGAAGAGGCGGCCGGAGCGCAAGUCCAUGGAGGUGCUGAGCGUGACGGACGGCGGCUCCCCGGUACCCGCGCGGCGCGCCAUCGAGAUGGCCCAGCAUGGCCAGAGUAAAGCGUUGUUCAGUAAAAGCCUGGAUAUCGCUGAAGCCCACCCCCAAUUCAGCAAAGACGACAGGUCUAGGUCCAUCAGUGGCGCCUCCUCCGGCCUGUCCACCAGCCCGCUCAGCAGCCCCCGGGUGACCCCCCACCCCUCUCCAAGGGGCAGUCCCCUCCCCACCCCCAAGGGGACACCCGUGCACACGCCAAAGGACAGCCCCGCCGGCACACCCAACCCCACGCCGCCGUCCAGCCCCAGCGUGGGGGGUGUGCCCUGGAGGACGCGGCUCAACUCCAUCAAGAACAGCUUCCUGGGGUCGCCCCGCUUCCACCGCCGGAAACUGCAAGUUCCCACGCCUGAGGAAAUGUCCAACCUGACCCCAGAGUCAUCUCCAGAGCUGGCCAAGAAGUCAUGGUUUGGGAACUUCAUCAACCUGGAGAAGGAGGAGCAGAUCUUCCUGGUGAUGAGGGACAAGCCUCUGAGCUCCAUCAAGGCUGACAUCGUGCAUGCCUUCCUGUCGAUCCCCAGCCUGGGCCACAGCGUCAUCUCGCAGACGAGCUUCCGCGCAGAGUACAAGGCACCGGGCGGCCCGGCCGUGUUCCAGAAGCCGGUCAAGUUCCAGGUGGACAUCACCUACACGGAGGGCACACAGGCGCAGAAGGAGAACGGCAUCUACUCCGUCACCUUCACGCUGUUGUCGGGCCCCAGCCGCCGCUUCAAGAGGGUGGUGGAGACCAUCCAGGCGCAGCUGCUCAGCUCCCACGACCCGCCGGCCGCCCCGCACCUGUCAGAACCCCCCCCGCCAGCGCCAGGACUAAGCUGGGGUGCUGGGCUUAAGGGCCAGAAGGUGGCCACCAGCUACGAGAGUAGCCUGUGACUCGGGCAGACACCACUAACUGUAUGGAGAUGAUGACGGGGAGGCUUUCCAAAUGUGGAACUGCCCCGAAAAGUUAACACGGCCCCUCCACGAGGCGCCUCUGGGCUCUGCGGACCCGGCGCUGGACGGCAGCUGUGUGGACGCCCCCCGCCCGCAUGCCCGGGGACCCCUCCAGGAAGCCAGCCCCGUCCGGGGAUGCGGCGAAGCAGCUGUGGACCGGCGCUGCCCGCCCCUCCCCGCGGCCCGCCCGCCCGCCCCACACCGCCGGGCACCGCGGACUCUGCGGGCGCCCACAUCAGUGUUAUUUAUUUGCCGUUUAACUUAUUGAGUUUCUUCACUUCUCUGUUCAGGGAAGGGCAGCAGCGGGCUCCGCUGCCAUCCAUCCAUCCGUCCGUCCGUCCGUGCGUCCUCGGCGGGGGGCUCUGGGGCACGGUGGCAGGUGGGGGCGGCAAGGCGACGAGCUACUGUAAACUUAAAAGAAUUCCUGCAAGAUA